GCUGGCGGCAGGCCUAACACAUGCAAGUCGAGCGGUAACAUUUCUAGCUUGCUAGAAGAUGACGAGCGGCGGACGGGUGAGUAACGCGUAGAAAUCUACCUAGUAGUGGGGGAUAGCCCAGGGAAAUUUGGAUUAAUACCGCAUACGCCCUACGGGGGAAAGCGGGGGAUCUUCGGACCUCGUGCUAUUAGAUGAGUCUGCGUCGGAUUAGCUUGUUGGUGAGGUAAUGGCUCACCAAGGCGACGAUCCGUAGCUGGUCUGAGAGGAUGACCAGCCACACUGGAACUGAGACACGGUCCAGACUCCUACGGGAGGCAGCAGUGGGGAAUAUUGCACAAUGGGCGCAAGCCUGAUGCAGCCAUGCCGCGUGUGUGAAGAAGGCCUUAGGGUUGUAAAGCACUUUCAGCAGUGAGGAAAGGGGUGUCGUUAAUAGCGCCAUCCUGUGACGUUAACUGCAGAAGAAGGACCGGCUAACUCCGUG
RNAcentral lists this ribosomal RNA (481 nucleotides) under uncultured bacterium. Its description in RNAcentral is "bacterial SSU rRNA". It matches the Rfam family "Bacterial small subunit ribosomal RNA", at positions 35 to 507 of the family's 1533-position model. The record is from RNAcentral.